This 252-nucleotide ribosomal RNA is filed under the name uncultured bacterium. RNAcentral's name for it is "partial 16S ribosomal RNA". It matches the Rfam family "Bacterial small subunit ribosomal RNA", at positions 524 to 776 of the family's 1533-position model. The record is from RNAcentral.
UACGGGGGGGCAAGCGUUGUUCGGAAUUACUGGGCGUAAAGGGCUUGUAGGCGGCCAACUAAGUCCGACGUGAAAUCCCCAGGCUUAACCUGGGAACUGCGUCGGAUACUGGAUGGCUUGAAUUCGGGAGAGGGAUGCAGAAUUCCAGGUGUAGCGGUGAAAUGCGUAGAUAUCUGGAGGAAUACCGGUGGCGAAGGCGGCAUCCUGGACCGACAUUGACGCUGAGGAGCGAAAGCUAGGGGAGCAAACGGG